GAGUUUGAUCGUGGCUCAGAUUGAACGCUGGCGGCAGGCCUAACACAUGCAAGUCGAGCGGUAGAGAGAAGCUUGCUUCUCUUGAGAGCGGCGGACGGGUGAGUAAUGCCUAGGAAUCUGCCUGGUAGUGGGGGAUAACGCUCGGAAACGGACGCUAAUACCGCAUACGUCCUACGGGAGAAAGCAGGGGACCUUCGGGCCUUGCGCUAUCAGAUGAGCCUAGGUCGGAUUAGCUAGUUGGUGAGGUAAUGGCUCACCAAGGCGACGAUCCGUAACUGGUCUGAGAGGAUGAUCAGUCACACUGGAACUGAGACACGGUCCAGACUCCUACGGGAGGCAGCAGUGGGGAAUAUUGGACAAUGGGCGAAAGCCUGAUCCAGCCAUGCCGCGUGUGUGAAGAAGGUC
RNAcentral lists this ribosomal RNA (405 nucleotides) under uncultured bacterium. RNAcentral's name for it is "bacterial SSU rRNA". It matches the Rfam family "Bacterial small subunit ribosomal RNA", at positions 9 to 416 of the family's 1533-position model. The record is from RNAcentral.